UUUUCGGACAACGGAUAUAGAGGACAGUGGCGGACGGGUGAGUAACGCGUGAGGAACCUGCCUUUCAGAGGGGGACAACAGUUGGAAACGACUGCUAAUACCGCAUGACACAUAGGUGUCGCAUGGCCUUAAUGUCAAAGAUUUAUCGCUGAAAGAUGGCCUCGCGUCUGAUUAGAUAGUUGGUGAGGUAACGGCCCACCAAGGCGACGAUCAGUAGCCGGCCUGAGAGGGUGAACGGCCACAUUGGGACUGAGAUACGGCCCAAACUCC
RNAcentral lists this ribosomal RNA (270 nucleotides) under uncultured Oscillibacter sp. RNAcentral's name for it is "partial 16S ribosomal RNA". It matches the Rfam family "Bacterial small subunit ribosomal RNA", at positions 72 to 339 of the family's 1533-position model. Lineage: Bacteria; Bacillati; Bacillota; Clostridia; Eubacteriales; Oscillospiraceae. The record is from RNAcentral.